Molecule: long non-coding RNA, 1108 nt
Organism: Camelus dromedarius (Arabian camel)
Lineage: Eukaryota; Metazoa; Chordata; Mammalia; Artiodactyla; Camelidae
Exons: 3
Source: RefSeq, a predicted model, not a curated record
GUUCCGGAGGGUUUCUCACAGGGAGCUUUAGCCCAUGUUGGGGUCCACAAGGGCUUCCCUGAGGCAGUGAGCUGUAAGUGAGAUCUGCAGGAUGCUGCAGGGAGAGCUGUCCCGCAAGGGGACAAGGACAAAGGCUGGAGGGAGCAGCCCGCGGGCCCUGGAGGGGCAGGACACAGAGGUGAGGGGGCUCUGCCGGGGCUGGAGGGCUGGGCAGCGCUGGGGGAGCCUCUGGCUGCCGUGAGUCCAGGAGGCAGGAGAUGGCUCCCAGAUGGAGUGGGGAAGGAGGAGAAUGACUGAGGGAGGCCCGGGAGGGUGCUUCUGCAGAUGCCCAGGGAGGUGACAGCAGGGGCCUGACUGGGGGAGGCAGAGGUUGGGGAGGGAGACAGCCAAAGGUGGGGACCAGGCUGUGCAAUGGGGUGAGGGGAGGGAGCUCCGAGGCCUCGGGCUUCACCAACCAGGGGUUCCUCUUUCAGAGUCAGAGAGCAGCGGGGGACCAGCAGAUCGGUGGGGGCUCUCGGAGGUGUUACGUUCAAAGGGCCUCUCUUGGCCACAGGGGCCUCCCUGGUCACUGGGUGCAGAGUCUGCCCUGUCUGCACGCUGGCAGGCAGCCUUCCCUGAUCUCCCAGGCUGGAAGGGGGCUCCCAGGACCCCAGGCUGCCACCAUCAGCGCAACUACAUUUGGUGACGAUGUGUCUUUGCUCUGGCUUCCCUACCAGCCAGGGUGCAUCUCAGGAGCUGCAUCUUGUUGUGGGGGUACCUGCGUCCCUCAAAUCACCAGGCAGAAGGUUGGACACAAAGCAGCUCAUGAGGGUGGGAAGGAAGGCGUGGCAGAGUUAAGUGACCAAAGUCGCGGACUGAAUGCGUGGCAUGGCCUGACGGAGCCCAGUCCUCCACCGCGCUGCACUCAAAGAACCCCGGAGGCGCCCGGACACCCCAUCCCCUCCUCCUACCCAUCCAGAGGCCACCCCCAGUCACCUCUCAUCGGUCUAAGACAACUUCAUCGGUCCGAGCCUCACCCCCUCCUGCCUCUCCUGGAAUCACUUCUCCUUGAAACAGCCUGAGGGACAUUUUCAAAUUGCAAAGCUGUUCAUGCUGUUUUCCUAAAACU